CUUUCUUUAACCUUUCUGCUUCUUCAAUAAUUUCUCUUCCUUUUCUUCUCAGGCUCACAAAAAGUAUAUUCUGUUGCUAUACCAAGUGACAUGAUCAUCACAAUUGAAGGUGCAUGUUGAGCAAGAUGGAGAAGCAGGGCACGUGCAACACUAACUCUUGAACACAACACAAAGGGUGUGAACUCAGAGAAUUGUCACAUUCUUUUCUGCUAGAGAGAUCCUAUAUUUUCUGCAGCGAGUUAGUCCUUCAUGUGCCCCUCUUCCCCAUCAUGACAACAGCACCUUAUCUUGCAUUUGGAAGUGUUCAAGGAUGGGAUUUUGAUUUGCUUCUGUUCACAAUUCAGCAUCAAAUUCAAUUUUUUUUAUAUAGGCUUCUUACAGAAGUGCCAGGUUUAUCCUCCUCAAAAGAAAAAGUUCAUCUGUUGUGCGCACUUGGGAACUAUAUAUUGACAUAGUGGCAUGCCUUUUCAUGGCAUAAACAUUGAUUACACAAGUCUCUUGGCACAAGUUGCCAUAUAAUUUUACACCGCAAGUUUAUGUUCAUAUAACUUCUUUUGAUCGUUUUGCAUGCCAUCGUCACGAUGUCAAAAAGGAAGCCUUUGAACAAGACAAAAAGAGGUAAAGAAGUUUCGAACUUUUGUAAUAUUCAUAUAGGAAGCGAAGGGGUAAGAAAAAAAAUGCAGGUAUUCCAUUCUUCACCAGUUAUUGUGUUAAUUUCUGCAAUAUGACAAAUAUGCAUGGCUAGUUUGCAGCAGCUAGCUAGGUUUAUCAAGCUAGUUUCUUCUUGCUUAUUGUGUUGGUGUGGUGCUUAAUUGUUUUCUUUGGUAUCAUCUAUGGUUCAAAUUAACUUUCAAACUUGAUAUGAAAUAGUGGUUGAUAUUGUAGCUACUGGAGAAAUCAAAGUUGUACUCAUCAGCUGUGAAUUUUCAGAAUUUUGCAUUCUCAGUGGUGGAUAUUAAAAAUCUGUCAUAAAUUCAGUCACGGAAUUAGGUGAUCUUCACUCUUAUAUCAUCAUAUAUAGUUGUUGAUUAAUGUCCUAAAGUCUAGAGACAAUUAUAAAAACCCCACCAUGAGAGAACAUAUAGGGAAGAUGUUUUUUUGGUAAUACAAGCCAGAUAGUUACCAUAAUUACAUAAAAUAUAACUUGUGUGAUACACAUAAAAGAAGUAUUAAUUCGUGGGAGUUAGACUAAUAUCUUUCUAGAAAUCAAAAAGCAUUAAAAGGUGAGCUACCUCAAUGAACUAGGUUUCCUUCAUACAUAAGAGCUAGUAUUUGAGUGUUCUGUGAUUAUAUAUAGUAUGAAUGCUAGCAACAUGAUAUGAGUUUGUUUACUACAUGUAAAACUGUGUGUGUUCAUAAGAAGAGAAAGAGAAAUUGAUUGAGCAUUUUAAAGAAACUUAAUAUUUUUGUGAGAAUAAUUGAUGAUGAAGUGAAAAGAAGGAUGCGUCCAAGAGACAGCACAUGUAAAUGGCAUAGUGAGCAGUCCCCAUAUAUGAUGGUUUCCGUACACUUACUGAAAGGAUCUGUCUUUAAUUAAGCACACAAAAAAGGGUUUUGAGAAGUUUGGAAAUAUGUGGUGUGGCAUUUAUGAUUGUUUGAAAGGCAGUGUCCGUUUUGUUUGCAUAUAUAGCAUCUAAAGAAACAUGGCGUCGUGGAUACAGCUCAUGAGAUGAGAUAAGAAUUCAGAGUUUUUUACCAUUAUUUGUUGCUAUUCUCCUUCUUAAUUCAGAUGCCAAUUUAUGAUCAUUAAUUAACUCAUCACUGAUCACAUUUUGGAACACAAUAGGACCAUUCCAUUUCCAUUAAAAACCAGAUAUAUUCACUUUCUUAUCAAUGACACUGACCAAGAAAAUUGGUUUCUUUUCCUAUCAGUACUUCGCCCUACACAAUAGCAAGAGUCUUCAUAUUUUAAGAUACGUGGGCCGUUCUCAUAAAGAGCUUUCGUAUUUGCACCGACACCACUCUAAUUUCAAAUGGGAUACUUUUUCUACAUCUUAAUUUUCUUCUCUUUCAAGUUUAAAGGUACUGAUAAAUCUGGUUGAUUUAAGUUAAGCCUAAUUGAGGUCUGUCUACUUUUGGAUCUUCUCCAUGAUUUUGUUAUUAAAUUUUUUUUGAAAAAUAAAA
This 2124-nucleotide small RNA is filed under the name Vigna angularis var. angularis. RNAcentral describes it as "Non-protein coding transcript". The stretch from base 117 to 277 matches the Rfam family "MIR164 microRNA precursor family". Lineage: Eukaryota; Viridiplantae; Streptophyta; Magnoliopsida; Fabales; Fabaceae. The record is from RNAcentral.